Molecule: transfer RNA, 73 nt
Filed under: Ailuropoda melanoleuca (giant panda)
Lineage: Eukaryota; Metazoa; Chordata; Mammalia; Carnivora; Ursidae
Rfam family: tRNA
About the family: Transfer RNA (tRNA) molecules are approximately 80 nucleotides in length. Their secondary structure includes four short double-helical elements and three loops (D, anti-codon, and T loops).
Source: Rfam by way of RNAcentral
GCCCAGCUGGCUCAGUUGGUAGAGCGUGCCACUCUUGAUCUCAGGGUUAUAAGUUCGAGCCCCAUGUUGGGUG